ACGCUCGACACCUACGGGAGACAGCAGUGGGGAAUAUUGCACAAUGGGGGAAACCCUGAUGCAGCAACGCCGCGUGAAGGAAGACGGUUUUCGGAUUGUAAACUUCUGUUCUUAGUGAAGAUAGUGACGGUAGCUAAGGAGCAAGCCACGGCUAACUACGUGCCAGCAGCAGCGGUAAUCUGAGCGGGCUGGCAAGGC
RNAcentral lists this ribosomal RNA (198 nucleotides) under uncultured bacterium. RNAcentral describes it as "partial 16S ribosomal RNA". It matches the Rfam family "Bacterial small subunit ribosomal RNA", at positions 328 to 539 of the family's 1533-position model. The record is from RNAcentral.